AACGAACGCUGGCGGCAUGCCUAACACAUGCAAGUCGAACGAGACCUUCGGGUCUAGUGGCGCACGGGUGCGUAACGCGUGGGAACCUGCCCUUAGGUUCGGAAUAACUCUCCGAAAGGGGUGCUAAUACCGGAUAAUGUCUUCGGACCAAAGGUUUAUCGCCUUUGGAUGGGCCCGCGUUGGCUUAGCUAGUUGGUAGGGUAAAAGCCUACCAAGGCGACGAUCCAUAGCUGGUCUGAGAGGAUGAUCAGCCACACUGGGACUGAGACACGGCCCAGACUCCUACGGGAGGCAGCAGUGGGGAAUAUUGGACAAUGGGCGAAAGCCUGAUCCAGCAAUGCCGCGUGAGUGAUGAAGGCCUUAGGGUUGUAAAGCUCUUUUACCCGGGAUGAUAAUGACAGUACCGGGAGAAUAAGCUCCGGCUAACUCCGUG
RNAcentral lists this ribosomal RNA (433 nucleotides) under uncultured bacterium. RNAcentral describes it as "partial 16S ribosomal RNA". It matches the Rfam family "Bacterial small subunit ribosomal RNA", at positions 29 to 507 of the family's 1533-position model. The record is from RNAcentral.